UUAUGAUGUCAGGUGCCUGGACAAAGCUUCCAAGUGGGCAGUAGUGGAUGGAUAUGUCCUGUGAGAUGUCACUAGAAGGAUGAGGAAGAAGCUUCUCACCACCUUCAGGAUGGAAUCAAAGCUCCCUGCAAACCCCACGAGGCCUCCACAACAGUCCUGCUGCCUCUCCGGCCACCUCUCCCCAUGCUCCUAGCCUACUCAGCUGCCCAUGGUUUCAUGAAUACUUGCUGUUUUCUUUGCCUACAAUGGCUUCCUCAAGCAUGGCAAACUUGUUCUCAGAUUUACAAUUCCAGGGGGGAACAACAAAGAAGAAAGAAAGAAGAGAAAAGAAGAGAAAAAGAAAGAAAGAGAGACCCAUCUACAGAAACAGAAGCAUAUUAGAACCAACACAGCCAAAAAGGCUGGGAAAUGCAGUUUUCCUGGGAUACUUUUUCUUUGGGGAUUCUUUCUACAGAUGGUUUACACGACCACCUAAAACAUUAAUCACACCUUAUUUUUGGCCCAAUACAGUAUAAUCCAGUUGAGUUACUGACCUUGACAACAGAUAACUCUUGGAAAUUCUGAUAACCUAUUUUUCAAAAGAAGAUCUUCCAGUUCUGAUGAGAUUGUAAGCACUAUUACCAAGUUCUAAGGGAAUUCCCAAAGAAGAAUUUUCAAUAUUUUGAGUUAUGGUGGUAGCUUCCUGGCAGAGAGACAAUGUGGCAUCCUGGGAGCUUAGGGCCUGAAGGACCUGGGUUUGAAUCUCAGCUGACCAUUUGCUAGCCCUUGGCUGUGUUACUUAACUGUCAG
Molecule: non-coding RNA, 789 nt
Organism: Microcebus murinus (gray mouse lemur)
Lineage: Eukaryota; Metazoa; Chordata; Mammalia; Primates; Cheirogaleidae
Source: RefSeq, a predicted model, not a curated record